UACGUAGGGUGCGAGCGUUAAUCGGAAUUACUGGGCGUAAAGUGUGCGCAGGUGGCCGCGCAAGUCGAGUGUGAAAGCCCCGGGCUUAACUUGGGAAUUGCGCUCGAAACUACGUGGCUAGAGUGUGGCAGAGGAAGGUGGAAUUCCACGUGUAGCGGUGAAAUGCGUAGAGAUGUGGAGGAACACCAAUGGCGAAGGCAGCCUUCUGGGCCAACACUGACGCUCAUGCACGAAAGCGUGGGGAGCAAACAGGAUUAGAUACCCUGGUAGUCCACGCCCUAAACGAUGAUGACUAGUUGUUGGGGGAGUUAAAUCCCUUAGUAACGCAGCUAACGCGUGAAGUCAUCCGCCUGGGGAGUACGGUCGCAAGAUUAAA
This 376-nucleotide ribosomal RNA is filed under the name uncultured bacterium. Its description in RNAcentral is "bacterial SSU rRNA". It matches the Rfam family "Bacterial small subunit ribosomal RNA", at positions 524 to 898 of the family's 1533-position model. The record is from RNAcentral.